Long non-coding RNA from Sciurus carolinensis (gray squirrel), 372 nucleotides. RefSeq lists it as uncharacterized. The record is from RefSeq and is a predicted model, not a curated record. NCBI's taxonomy places the organism in Eukaryota, Metazoa, Chordata, Mammalia, Rodentia, Sciuridae. The transcript is spliced from 3 exons.
GCAGGAGACCGAGGAGCCCAGAGGACACCGCCUUUAACAGGGAGGGAGAGUUAAAGAGACAACAACCUGGAACAGUUCAGUCUGGAUAGUUCCACUGGACCCAUGGAACCCAUCAAGGGAUCCCCACAAGAUAUUCAGACCAUCGCCAACCAAGAUGGAGCUCAGUCUACAUCUCCCCUGUGCUCUUGGGCUGCAGAAGUCUCUGCCAGCGAUAAGGUGGCCAGGUUCCGGCAUUCAACCUGACAGCCUGGCAUUCCAGCUUCCUGUGGGGUCAUGAAAACUGAAGAAUGGACCCGUUUGGUACCACUGUUCUGAACUUGAAGAAUGAGUGCCCGAAUCACGGUGCGUUGGAGACGUUGCUCAGAGCAGAAA